UCUUUUUGCAAGGCCAACUGUACCCUACGACCAGCUGCAGGGCAAAGUGUACUUAUCGCAUUCUUAUUUUGAACUCUCGAGUUACACUUAUACUCUUUAAUACUUAAAUACGCUCCGCGGUUAACUGCUCGCGGAUCGCCUUCCCGUCCUUAUUUUUGCUGCAGUCUUUGAGGGCACCAACCUGAGUCAUGUUUAGUUGUCCAGCCUGUGCGACGUCUUUCGUACUCGUCACCCUUCUUCGCCAUAACAGCGCCAAGCCCAGCCUUCGUGUACCCGUUGCUGCCGAAGGGUUACGCAGCGCCUACGAUUUUUUCACCUGCGAAAACUGCUCUUGCACCUACUCGUUCGAACGAAGAUGCCUGGUGAACAGAUACAAGGAAUGUUGGUGCGACGCUGGAACAUACCGGCGAGGAAUUCGGGGCCCCUGUAUCAAGAAGAGGGACUGUAUCCCAGAUAUACUGCUGUAAGACAUGCAGAAAGGGCGAACGAUUGCUUCUGCAUUUGAAAAGCGUGCAGACAACUGGAGUAUGGUAGCGAGGAGCCAAAAUAAACAGCUUUAUUUCUUUA
Molecule: long non-coding RNA, 567 nt
Organism: Dermacentor albipictus
Lineage: Eukaryota; Metazoa; Arthropoda; Arachnida; Ixodida; Ixodidae
Source: RefSeq, a predicted model, not a curated record